RNAcentral lists this small nucleolar RNA (151 nucleotides) under Arabidopsis thaliana (thale cress). Its description in RNAcentral is "ncRNA (AT2G08585)". Lineage: Eukaryota; Viridiplantae; Streptophyta; Magnoliopsida; Brassicales; Brassicaceae. The record is from RNAcentral.
UUAUCAGUCCAUCUUGGCGAAGCUAAUGAGUCUUUGGGCUAUGAUUAGCUUUGAAUGCUAAUGGACUGACAUCAAAUAAUUUUUAUCUAAGCCGACUUUUGCAGAUAGUUAGUGUAAUAUCUACCUGCAGACCGGUUUAGAUAAAACAUAC